GGAAAAGACAGCUUUAGCUUGGUCAUUCCUUCAGGCUGGGAGUUGCAAAACCUUGUCUGCUCCCUUGCUUGACUCAUGCUGUAGGGUGCCCUAGAUAAUAUCAAAAAGCCAAACAAGCAUGUACAUAUGUAUAUGUGGCCCCCUGUGCAGGAGCCACAAGCAUCCACCCUAGCACAAACAAAAAAAUAAGGAGGGCAUUAUUAAUCCAGGAGGUUGAGAACUUGUAACAAAAAAAAAAAAAAAAAAAAAAACACCACAACAAAAAAAGAAGAAAGAGGACAAAUAAAAGCAAGGGGCUUUCUCCAAAACCCAAUGUCCCCACCCAGAACCACCUCACAGCUCUGCAGGGGGCUAACGAAGGAACACCCAUCACACCAGAGGAACAAGCAGUUGCCGCACCAAUAAAGAGGAUAACUGCUAGUGCACCCAGGAAAAAGCCGUGAGUCAUACUAGACAUCUGGAAAAUACUGACUGGAAAAUUAAGAUGAGAUUAAUAUUCCUUCUGAUGUUUUUAUCCUCUUCAUGCCUCAUCAUCACGCUCACUGUACCAUGAGAUCAACAAGAUUAGAUAUCUUUGAAACCUGCUCUCCAGCAGAAUGUGAUAUUCAGGAUGAGAGAUCCUCUUGAGACUCUUGGAAAGACUGGCAAUGUUUCUUUGAGGCUCAGAAACAUUAGCAGAAGAUUCACCUGGGUAACAGGACCUCCUCAGAAGCUCCCACUCCAUGCCAUGGUGUUUUCUCCCUUUCUGGUCAAGUCAUCCCCACAAGCUUCUGCAGAAAAACGCUACAGAUUAUAACCAACAUGAGCAGAAAAUGGUCUUUAGAGAGUGGUGACAGCAAAAGAGCAUUAAAUUUGGACUAUUGGUAGUGGUGAGAAUCAGUGCUGAAGCAGCUGUACCUCUUCUGUGUGCUUCAUGCUGCCAUUUGAAGAGAUCACAGAUAUCGUGAAGUGAAACACAUGGAAUGACACUUAUGGCUGAUGAGGAAGUGCCUGCUACAGGGACAGGCCAUGUUCUAUUUUACUGCUCCAAGUUGUUUGUUUUCAGAGAAGGGUGGCAAAAGUCUGCUGCCUUUGUUGACCCAGCCUCCACAUGUUCUUCAAAGCUCUACCACCACUGCUGUAAUGCUGAAAGGCUUUUAAGUUAGCUUACUUAGAUUUUUUUUUUUUCCAUGCUGUCUCUGCACUACAGAAGUCUAGUAAGUUAUAUGUCCCAUAGCCAGUUAUUCCUUUAUAUGACAAAGGCUAAGCAGGAAAUAUUUACUGUGACUGAAGAAAAAAAAAAAAAGAGAGUAAAAUAUCAGGGGUAUGUAUGUGUAUGGAAUUUAUGUAAUUUUUCACAGAUAUGACUUACCAUUUUCCUACCACAAGGGAGCUCAGAGCUGUAGAUGGAGGCAAACAGCAUGCCUUAAUGUGAGAGAGAAAUUCUGCUAGCACUUUGCCAGAAUAAUGGGCAAAAUUAUGCAUUUGUGUCCCUUGGAAAGGCUGGCAUUGCAAAGGGCCUUUUCAUCCCAAGUGAGCACCUGAAUAAAAUUUUUGACAACUUUCAUGAAGCAAAUGCACAGUGUUUUGGGGAAGGUUUUUGUUUUUCUUUGAUGUAGUUGCAAAAAUUUCACCUUUACUCCAUUGUCACAUAAUAUAACACGUUUGUGAAUCACUUUCUAUCCUU
This is a long non-coding RNA of Strigops habroptila (Kakapo), 1666 nucleotides long. RefSeq lists it as uncharacterized. The record is from RefSeq and is a predicted model, not a curated record. The transcript is spliced from 3 exons. Lineage: Eukaryota; Metazoa; Chordata; Aves; Psittaciformes; Psittacidae.